RNAcentral lists this ribosomal RNA (250 nucleotides) under uncultured bacterium. Its description in RNAcentral is "partial 16S ribosomal RNA". It matches the Rfam family "Bacterial small subunit ribosomal RNA", at positions 1250 to 1500 of the family's 1533-position model. The record is from RNAcentral.
CAAGACUGCGAAGUGGAGGCAAAUCCCUAAAAGCCAUCUCAGUUCGGAUUGCAGGCUGCAAUCGCCUGCAUGAAGCUGGAAUUGCUAGUAAUCGCGGAUCAGCAAGCCGCGGUGAAUACGUUCCCGGGCCUUGUACACACCGCCCGUCACACCAUGAGAGUCGGGAACACCCGAAGUCCGUAGUCUAACCGCAAGGGGGGCGCGGCCGAAGGUGGGUCCGGUAAUUGGGGUGAAGUCGUAACAAGGUAAC